UUGCGAAUGAUGACCUAGCAUAUUCUAUACAGUUAUCCCUGUCUGAAAUGUCUCUCAAGAGUUCAUUUGUGGAUACCGUCUAACUUCUGACUACGCAA
Molecule: small nucleolar RNA, 98 nt
Filed under: Fusarium pseudograminearum CS3096
Lineage: Eukaryota; Fungi; Ascomycota; Sordariomycetes; Hypocreales; Nectriaceae
Description: small nucleolar RNA R38
Source: RNAcentral